Molecule: ribosomal RNA, 165 nt
Filed under: uncultured bacterium
Lineage: Bacteria
Description: partial 16S rRNA
Rfam family: Bacterial small subunit ribosomal RNA
Source: RNAcentral
UGGGGAAUAUUGGACAAUGGGCGAAAGCCUGAUCCAGCCAUGCCGCGUGUGUGAAGAAGGUCUUCGGAUUGUAAAGCACUUUAAGUUUGGGAGGAAGGGCAGUAAGCUAAUACCUUGCUGUUUUGACGUUACCGACAGAAUAAGCACCGGCUAACUCUGUGCCGG